GACGAACGCUGGCGGCGUGCCUAAUACAUGCAAGUAGAACGCUGAAGAGAGGAGCUUGCUCUUCUUGGAUGAGUUGCGAACGGGUGAGUAACGCGUAGGUAACCUGCCUUGUAGCGGGGGAUAACUAUUGGAAACGAUAGCUAAUACCGCAUAACAAUAGGUGACACAUGUCAUUUAUUUGAAAGGGGCAAUUGCUCCACUACAAGAUGGACCUGCGUUGUAUUAGCUAGUAGGUGAGGUAACGGCUCACCUAGGCGACGAUACAUAGCCGACCUGAGAGGGUGAUCGGCCACACUGGGACUGAGACACGGCCCAGACUCCUACGGGAGGCAGCAGUAGGGAAUCUUCGGCAAUGGGGGCAGCCCUGACCGAGCAACGCCGCGUGAGUGAAGAAGGUUUUCGGAUCGUAAAGCUCUGUUGUAAGUCAAGAACGAGUGUGAGAGUGGAAAGUUCACACUGUGACGGUAGCUUACCAGAAAGGGACGGCUAACUACGUG
This 497-nucleotide ribosomal RNA is filed under the name uncultured bacterium. RNAcentral's name for it is "partial 16S ribosomal RNA". It matches the Rfam family "Bacterial small subunit ribosomal RNA", at positions 28 to 507 of the family's 1533-position model. The record is from RNAcentral.